Molecule: ribosomal RNA, 422 nt
Filed under: Scenedesmus sp. BN01
Lineage: Eukaryota; Viridiplantae; Chlorophyta; Chlorophyceae; Sphaeropleales; Scenedesmaceae
Description: bacterial LSU rRNA
Rfam family: Bacterial large subunit ribosomal RNA (bases 1-149)
Source: RNAcentral
CGCAGCCUAGGUGGGAGGCAUUGAAGAUUUCCUUCCGGGGAAGUUGGAGCCAUCAUUGAGAGACCACUCUGGAGAGGCUAGAAUCCUAAUGGUGAUCCCUGAAUCGGGACACUUGACAGUUUCAGGUGGGCAGUUUUUCUGGGGCGGAAGCCUUAACUAGGAGGGCAGCACUGUAGUAAUGCAGUGCUUAAACUUAGCUAAAGUGCUGAAAGUGCUUACAAUUCUGUUUUGCUAAUCAGCAAGGUCUUGUUGAGAAAAAUGAUUGUUUUAUGUGAAUAAAACACAUGUUGUUUUCAACAACCCUACAACGACUUCAUGCUAAAAAGCUAUUCUUUUAAAUUACAAAAUUAGAGCUUUGUGAUAAAGUCUGAGCUAUUAUGGAAAUAAUAGAUUUCUUUAUUUCUCUAAAUAAAGAAAGCUAU